Molecule: ribosomal RNA, 424 nt
Filed under: uncultured archaeon
Lineage: Archaea
Description: bacterial SSU rRNA
Rfam family: Archaeal small subunit ribosomal RNA
Source: RNAcentral
CUAAGCCAUGCGAGUCGAGAGGGUUCGGCCCUCGGCGGACUGCUCAGUAACACGUGGAUAAUUUGCCCUUAGGUGGAGGAUAAUCUCGGGAAACUGAGAAUAAUACUCCAUAGAUCUAGGAUGCUGGAAUGCACUUAGAUUGAAAGUUCCGGCGCCUAAGGAUAAGUCUGCGGACUAUCAGGUUGUAGUCAGGGUAAAGACCUGACUAGCCUACAACGGAUACGGGUUGUGAGAGCAAUAACCCGGAGACGAUAUCUGAGACACGAUAUCGGGCCCUACGGGGCGCAGCAGGCGCGAAACCUUCACACUGCGCGAAAGCGCGAUAAGGGGAUNCCCAGUGCCAGCUCGUAAGAGUUGGCUGUNUCUCUGUCUAAAAGCAGAGAGAGUAAGGGCUGGNGUAGACGGGUGCCAGCCGCCGCGGUAA